GACGAACGCUGGCGGCGUGCUUAACACAUGCAAGUCGAGCGGUGAACCUCCUUCGGGAGGGGAUCAGCGGCGAACGGGUGAGUAACACGUGGGCAACCUGCCCCUAGCACUGGGAUAACCCCGGGAAACCGGGGCUAAUACCGGAUACGACCCCCGAGGACAUCCUCGGAGGUGGAAAGUUCCGGCGGCUAGGGAUGGGCCCGCGGCCUAUCAGCUUGUUGGUGGGGUAACGGCCCACCAAGGCGACGACGGGUAGCCGGCCUGAGAGGGCGACCGG
RNAcentral lists this ribosomal RNA (277 nucleotides) under uncultured bacterium. RNAcentral describes it as "partial 16S ribosomal RNA". It matches the Rfam family "Bacterial small subunit ribosomal RNA", at positions 28 to 307 of the family's 1533-position model. The record is from RNAcentral.